GAUGAACGCUGGCGGCGUGCCUAAUACAUGCCAGUCGAGCGAACAGACGAGGAGCUUGCUCCUCUGACGUUAGCGGCGGACGGGUGAGUAACACGUGGAUAACCUACCUAUAAGACUGGGAUAACUUCGGGAAACCGGAGCUAAUACCGGAUAAUAUAUUGAACCGCAUGGUUCAAUAGUGAAAGACGGUUUUGCUGUCACUUAUAGAUGGAUCCGCGCCGCAUUAGCUAGUUGGUAAGGUAACGGCUUACCAAGGCAACGAUGCGUAGCCGACCUGAGAGGGUGAUCGGCCACACUGGAACUGAGACACGGUCCAGACUCCUACGGGAGGCAGCAGUAGGGAAUCUUCCGCAAUGGGCGAAAGCUUGACGGAGCAACGCCGCGUGAGUGAUGAAGGUCUUCGGGUCGUAAAACUCUGUUAUUAGGGAAGAACAAAUGUGUAAGUAACUAUGCACGUCUUGACGGUACCUAAUCAGAAAGCCACGGCUAACUACGUG
This 497-nucleotide ribosomal RNA is filed under the name uncultured bacterium. Its description in RNAcentral is "partial 16S ribosomal RNA". It matches the Rfam family "Bacterial small subunit ribosomal RNA", at positions 28 to 507 of the family's 1533-position model. The record is from RNAcentral.